GUCUAUGGCCAUGCCACCCUGAAUAAGCCUGAUGUCUGAUCUUGGAAGCUAAGCAAGGUUGGGCCUGGUUAGUACUUGGGUGGGAGACCACCUAGGAAAACCAGGUACUAUAGGCA
Molecule: ribosomal RNA, 116 nt
Filed under: Pteropus alecto (black flying fox)
Lineage: Eukaryota; Metazoa; Chordata; Mammalia; Chiroptera; Pteropodidae
Source: RNAcentral